UUUGUCUUUUAAUUUAGGACUGGAAUGAAAGAUUAGACUAAAUAUUUUUGUCUUAUAAUAAUAUUUUGAAAUUAAUAUUUUAGUAAAAAAGCUAAAAUUUAUCUAAAAGACGAGAAGACCCUAUCAAGCUUUACAAAUAAAAUUUAUUUUCAAAAUAAAAUUUAAAUUUGUUUUACUGGGGUAGUAAAUAAAUAAAAUUUUAUUUUUAUAUUAUGAUUUAUUAAUCUUGAGUUAUCAAGAAAUUUUUAAAAAUGAAUAAGUUACUGUAGGGAUAACAGCAUAAUUUUUUUAAAGAGUUCUUAUCAUCAAAAAAGUUUGUGACCUCGAUGUUGGAUUAAGAUUCCUAAUUCGUGCAAUAAUGAAAAAAGGAAGUCUGUUCGACUUUUAAAUUCUUCCA
This 397-nucleotide ribosomal RNA is filed under the name Pseudouroctonus reddelli. RNAcentral's name for it is "partial 16S ribosomal RNA". The stretch from base 271 to 397 matches the Rfam family "Bacterial large subunit ribosomal RNA", at positions 2473 to 2600 of the family's 2925-position model. The record is from RNAcentral. Lineage: Eukaryota; Metazoa; Arthropoda; Arachnida; Scorpiones; Vaejovidae.